This 482-nucleotide ribosomal RNA is filed under the name uncultured bacterium. Its description in RNAcentral is "partial 16S ribosomal RNA". It matches the Rfam family "Bacterial small subunit ribosomal RNA", at positions 28 to 523 of the family's 1533-position model. The record is from RNAcentral.
AGUGAACGUUGGCGGCGUGGAUUAGGCAUGCGAGUCGAGCGAGAACCGUAGCAAUACGGGGACAGCGGCGAAAGGGACAGUAAUAUGUAGGUACCUACCCUCGGGUCCGGGAUAGCUGCGGGAAACUGCAGGUAAUACCGGAUGACAUCUCCGGAUCAAAGGUGUGAUUCCGCCCAGGGAGGGGCCUGCAUCCUAUUGGCUUGUUGGUGGGGUAACGGCCCACCAAGGCGACGAUGGGUAGCGGGUGUGAGAGCAUGACCCGCGUCAUUGGGACUGAGACACUGCCCAGACACCUACGGGUGGCUGCAGUCGAGAAUCUUCGGCAAUGGGGGCAACCCUGACCGAGCGACGCCGCGUGCGGGAUGAAGGCCUUCGGGUUGUAAACCGCUGUCGUAGAGGAGGAAAUGCAGGGGGGUUCUCCCCUCUGUUUGACCUAUUCUAGGAGGAAGGACGGGCUAAGUUCGUGCCAGCCGCCGCCGUAA